GGGUUGUGAGGUUAAGCGACUAAGCGUACACGGUGGAUGCCCUGGCAGUCAGAGGCGAUGAAGGACGUGCUAAUCUGCGAAAAGCGUCGGUAAGGUGAUAUGAACCGUUAUAACCGGCGAUGUCCGAAUGGGGAAACCCAGUGCAAUUCGUUGCACUAUCGUUAACUGAAUACAUAGGUUAACGAGGCGAACCGGGGGAACUGAAACAUCUAAGUACCCCGAGGAAAAGAAAUCAACCGAGAUUCCCCCAGUAGCGGCGAGCGAACGGGGAGCAGCCCAGAGUCUGAAUCAGCUUGUGUGUUAGUGGAACGGUCUGGAAAGUCCGACGGUACAGGGUGAUAGUCCCGUACACCAAAAUGCACAGGUUGUGAACUCGAAGAGUAGGGCGGGACACGUGGUAUCCUGUCUGAAUAUGGGGGGACCAUCCUCCAAGGCUAAAUACUCCUGACUGACCGAUAGUGAACCAGUACCGUGAGGGAAAGGCGAAAAGAACCCCGGCGAGGGGAGUGAAAAAGAACCUGAAACCGUGUACGUACAAGCAGUGGGAGCACCUUCGGGUGUGACUGCGUACCUUUUGUAUAAUGGGUCAGCGACUUAUAUUCUGUAGCAAGGUUAACCGUAUAGGGGAGCCGCAGGGAAACCGAGUCUUAACUGGGCGUUAAGUUGCAGGGUAUAGACCCGAAACCCGGUGAUCUAGCCAUGGGCAGGUUGAAGGUUGGGUAACACUAACUGGAGGACCGAACCGACUAAUGUUGAAAAAUUAGCGGAUGACUUGUGGCUGGGGGUGAAAGGCCAAUCAAACCGGGAGAUAGCUGGUUCUCCCCGAAAGCUAUUUAGGUAGCGCCUCGUGAAUUCAUCUUCGGGGGUAGAGCACUGUUUCGGCUAGGGGGUCAUCCCGACUUACCAACCCGAUGCAAACUACGAAUACCGAAGAAUGUUAUCACGGGAGACACACGGCGGGUGCUAACGUCCGUCGUGAAGAGGGAAACAACCCAGACCGCCAGCUAAGGUCCCAAAGUCAUGGUUAAGUGGGAAACGAUGUGGGAAGGCACAGACAGCCAGGAUGUUGGCUUAGAAGCAGCCAUCAUUUAAAGAAAGCGUAAUAGCUCACUGGUCGAGUCGGCCUGCGCGGAAGAUGUAACGGGGCUAAACCAUGCACCGAAGCUGCGGCAGCGACACUAUGUGUUGUUGGGUAGGGGAGCGUUCUGUAAGCCUGCGAAGGUGACCUGUGAGGGUUGCUGGAGGUAUCAGAAGUGCGAAUGCUGACAUAAGUAACGAUAAAGCGGGUGAAAAGCCCGCUCGCCGGAAGACCAAGGGUUCCUGUCCAACGUUAAUCGGGGCAGGGUGAGUCGACCCCUAAGGCGAGGCCGAAAGGCGUAGUCGAUGGGAAACAGGUUAAUAUUCCUGUACUUGGUGUUACUGCGAAGGGGGGACGGAGAAGGCUAUGUUAGCCGGGCGACGGUUGUCCCGGUUUAAGCAUGUAGGCUGAUUAUCCAGGCAAAUCCGGAUAAUCAAGGCUGAGGUGUGAUGACGAGGCACUACGGUGCUGAAGUAACAAAUGCCCUGCUUCCAGGAAAAGCCUCUAAGCAUCAGGUAACAUCAAAUCGUACCCCAAACCGACACAGGUGGUCAGGUAGAGAAUACCAAGGCGCUUGAGAGAACUCGGGUGAAGGAACUAGGCAAAAUGGUGCCGUAACUUCGGGAGAAGGCACGCUGGUGUGUAGGUGAAGCCCCUGCGGGUGGAGCUGAGACCAGUCGAAGAUACCAGCUGGCUGCAACUGUUUAUUAAAAACACAGCACUGUGCAAACACGAAAGUGGACGUAUACGGUGUGACGCCUGCCCGGUGCCGGAAGGUUAAUUGAUGGGGUUAUCCGUAAGGAGAAGCUCUUGAUCGAAGCCCCGGUAAACGGCGGCCGUAACUAUAACGGUCCUAAGGUAGCGAAAUUCCUUGUCGGGUAAGUUCCGACCUGCACGAAUGGCGUAAUGAUGGCCAGGCUGUCUCCACCCGAGACUCAGUGAAAUUGAACUCGCUGUGAAGAUGCAGUGUACCCGCGGCAAGACGGAAAGACCCCGUGAACCUUUACUAUAGCUUGACACUGAACAUUGAGCCUUGAUGUGUAGGAUAGGUGGGAGGCUUUGAAGCGUGGACGCCAGUCUGCGUGGAGCCAACCUUGAAAUACCACCCUUUAAUGUUUGAUGUUCUAACGUUGGCCCCUGACCGGGGUUGCGGACAGUGUCUGGUGGGUAGUUUGACUGGGGCGGUCUCCUCCCAAAGCGUAACGGAGGAGCACGAAGGUUAGCUAAUCCUGGUCGGACAUCAGGAGGUUAGUGCAAUGGCAUAAGCUAGCUUGACUGCGAGCGUGACGGCGCGAGCAGGUGCGAAAGCAGGUCAUAGUGAUCCGGUGGUUCUGAAUGGAAGGGCCAUCGCUCAACGGAUAAAAGGUACUCCGGGGAUAACAGGCUGAUACCGCCCAAGAGUUCAUAUCGACGGCGGUGUUUGGCACCUCGAUGUCGGCUCAUCACAUCCUGGGGCUGAAGUAGGUCCCAAGGGUAUGGCUGUUCGCCAUUUAAAGUGGUACGCGAGCUGGGUUUAGAACGUCGUGAGACAGUUCGGUCCCUAUCUGCCGUGGGCGCUGGAGAAUUGAGGGGGGCUGCUCCUAGUACGAGAGGACCGGAGUGGACGCAUCACUGGUGUUCGGGUUGUCAUGCCAAUGGCACUGCCCGGUAGCUAAAUGCGGAAGAGAUAAGUGCUGAAAGCAUCUAAGCACGAAACUUGCCCCGAGAUGAGUUCUCCCUGAGACUUUAAGUCUCCUGAAGGAACGUUGAAGACGACGACGUUGAUAGGCCGGGUGUGUAAGCGCAGCGAUGCGUUGAGCUAACCGGUACUAAUGAACCGUGAGGCUUAACCUUACAACGCCGAAG
Molecule: ribosomal RNA, 2923 nt
Filed under: Klebsiella pneumoniae
Lineage: Bacteria; Pseudomonadati; Pseudomonadota; Gammaproteobacteria; Enterobacterales; Enterobacteriaceae
Description: 23S ribosomal RNA
Rfam family: Bacterial large subunit ribosomal RNA
Source: RNAcentral